UACGGAGGAUCCGAGCGUUAUCCGGAUUUAUUGGGUUUAAAGGGUGCGUAGGCGGUUUGAUAAGUUAGAGGUGAAAUGUCGGGGCUCAACCCCGAAACUGCCUCUAAUACUGUUGGACUAGGGAAUAGUUGCGGUAGGCGGAAUGUAUGGUGUAGCGGUGAAAUGCUUAGAGAUCAUACAGAACACCGAUUGCGAAGGCAGCUUACCAAACUAUAUCUGACGUUGAGGCACGAAAGCGUGGGUAGCAAACAGG
This 253-nucleotide ribosomal RNA is filed under the name uncultured bacterium. RNAcentral describes it as "partial 16S ribosomal RNA". It matches the Rfam family "Bacterial small subunit ribosomal RNA", at positions 524 to 776 of the family's 1533-position model. The record is from RNAcentral.